GGGCGGUUAGCUCAGUCGGCUAGAGCGCUACGUUGACAUCGUAGAGGUCAGGGGUUCGAGCCCCUUACCGCCCA
RNAcentral lists this transfer RNA (74 nucleotides) under Chloroflexota bacterium. Its description in RNAcentral is "tRNA-Val". It matches the Rfam family "tRNA". From Rfam's summary of the family: Transfer RNA (tRNA) molecules are approximately 80 nucleotides in length. Lineage: Bacteria; Bacillati; Chloroflexota. The record is from RNAcentral.